GCUCUUCCUGUUUUACUCUACUGAGACCGACUCGAGACGCUGUUGUCAGUUUCAACAAAAUGGCUGCUGGAGCGCCACAAACGAAAACCCAGUGAACGCUUCACGUCAGCGCAGUAUCCUUUUCAAUGGAUGCAUUGGAAUUUCCCUACCUUUUGAGCAUCGGGACAUUUAACUCGCGUGGGCUCGUUUACAUGCGUGUUUGCGAACUAAAGGCAUGCUGAGAUAUUCCCUUCACGCACUUUAUUUACAUCCAAAAGCAUACAAAAGCUCAAGCUGCCAGUGCGCGCGCGCGCGCGUCUCUGCUCCUGAGGAUCGCCGAAAUGUUACAGAUGAUCAACCCUAAUCUUGCUUGCUGACGUGCAAAACUGUCGUUUAAUGUCCUUUUCACUGUUUGCACUGGUAUUUCAGAGUUCCCCCCACCCACCCCCCUCUCUGGACAGAUUCCACUGCAUAAUGAGAUGUGAAUUUCUCAACUGGAAAGUCGGGCUCGCCAUUGCAGCUCACUGCAAGAGUGAGUGAGUGAGUAGGAUCUGCUCUUGAGUGUCAGUACGGGUAUCGACAACAUCCUCCUUCACCACGCAGCUCAUGCAUCACAUUUAAACAGCAGACCGCAGGUGCUCCGUGUGCGAAAUUAAG
This is a long non-coding RNA of Cyprinus carpio carpio, 636 nucleotides long. The record is from Ensembl. Lineage: Eukaryota; Metazoa; Chordata; Actinopteri; Cypriniformes; Cyprinidae.